GUGGGGAAUCUUGCGCAAUGGGCGAAAGCCUGACGCAGCCAUGCCGCGUGAAUGAUGAAGGUCUUAGGAUUGUAAAAUUCUUUCACCGGGGACGAUAAUGACGGUACCCGGAGAAGAAGCCCCGGCUAACUUCGUGCCAGCAGCCGCGGUAAUACGAAGGGGGCUAGCGUUGCUCGGAAUUACUGGGCGUAAAGGGCGCGUAGGCGGACAGCUUAGUCAGAGGUGAAAGCCCAGGGCUCAACCUUGGAAUUGCCUUUGAUACUGACUGUCUUGAGUUUGGGAGAGGUGAGUGGAACUCCGAGUGUAGAGGUGAAAUUCGUAGAUAUUCGGAAGAACACCAGUGGCGAAGGCGACUCACUGGCCCAAUACUGACGCUGAGGCGCGAAAGCGUGGGGAGCAAACAGGAUUAGAAACCCGUGUAGUCC
This 425-nucleotide ribosomal RNA is filed under the name uncultured bacterium. RNAcentral describes it as "partial 16S ribosomal RNA". It matches the Rfam family "Bacterial small subunit ribosomal RNA", at positions 354 to 796 of the family's 1533-position model. The record is from RNAcentral.